RNAcentral lists this transfer RNA (89 nucleotides) under Actinoplanes cyaneus. RNAcentral's name for it is "tRNA-Val". Lineage: Bacteria; Bacillati; Actinomycetota; Actinomycetes; Micromonosporales; Micromonosporaceae. The record is from RNAcentral.
AGACGACGGUGGUGACGGUCUUGCCGCCGCCGUUGACGGUGGUGGUGAUCACUUCACGGCGCUCGCCGUGCGGCCCGGUCGACGUCUGC